UUCCUGGUGGUCCAGUGGCUAGGACUCCAAUCUCCCAAUGCAGGGGGCCUGGGUUCGAUCCCUGGUCAGGAAA
This 73-nucleotide transfer RNA is filed under the name Bos taurus (domestic cattle). It matches the Rfam family "tRNA". Rfam says of the family: Transfer RNA (tRNA) molecules are approximately 80 nucleotides in length. Their secondary structure includes four short double-helical elements and three loops (D, anti-codon, and T loops). Lineage: Eukaryota; Metazoa; Chordata; Mammalia; Artiodactyla; Bovidae. RNAcentral also lists the same sequence under 3 other names. The record is from Rfam by way of RNAcentral.